Molecule: ribosomal RNA, 584 nt
Filed under: uncultured bacterium
Lineage: Bacteria
Description: partial 16S ribosomal RNA
Rfam family: Bacterial small subunit ribosomal RNA
Source: RNAcentral
UGGGGAAUUUUGGACAAUGGGCGAAAGCCUGAUCCAGCAAUGCCGCGUGUGUGAAGAAGGCCUUCGGGUUGUAAAGCACUUUUGUCCGGAAAGAAAUCCUUGGCUCUAAUACAGUCGGGGGAUGACGGUACCGGAAGAAUAAGCACCGGCUAACUACGUGCCAGCAGCCGCGGUAAUACGUAGGGUGCAAGCGUUAAUCGGAAUUACUGGGCGUAAAGCGUGCGCAGGCGGUUUGCUAAGACCGAUGUGAAAUCCCCGGGCUCAACCUGGGAACUGCAUUGGUGACUGGCAGGCUAGAGUAUGGCAGAGGGGGGUAGAACUCCACGUGUAGCAGUGAAAUGCGUAGAGAUGUGGAGGAAUACCGAUGGCGAAGGCAGCCCCCUGGGCCAAUACUGACGCUCAUGCACGAAAGCGUGGGGAGCAAACAGGAUUAGAUACCCUGGUAGUCCACGCCCUAAACGAUGUCAACUAGUUGUUGGGGAUUCAUUUCCUAGUAACGUAGCUAACGCGUGAAGUUGACCGCCUGGGGAGUACGGUCGCAAGAUUAAAACUUAAAGGAAUUGACGGGGUCAUAGCUGUUUCCU